GACUGGUCCUAUUUCAGUGGUGUUUUAAUUGAUCACAGCCACUUAGAGAUUUCGUUGUUACUUAUCCAUUCCCGCUGCUUUACUUGGCUAGCCCUAG
Molecule: Y RNA, 97 nt
Filed under: Otolemur garnettii (small-eared galago)
Lineage: Eukaryota; Metazoa; Chordata; Mammalia; Primates; Galagidae
Rfam family: Y RNA
About the family: Y RNAs are components of the Ro ribonucleoprotein particle (Ro RNP), in association with Ro60 and La proteins. The Y RNAs and Ro60 and La proteins are well conserved, but the function of the Ro RNP is not known.
Source: Rfam by way of RNAcentral